GCGGUUGCUGUGACUUCUGUCCUCCGCCUGUUGAUAUCUGUCCGCUCACGGGGCUACCAAUCAUGUCACGGCUUAGAAGACGAGCGCAGCGCCAGUGCUGGUUGGACGCCCACUGCGCCAGCGACUCCGUGUGCUGUGCCGACCAGUGCCACCAUCACGUCAAAAUCUGCAAGAGGAAGCCGAGGAGGGUGAACGCUGUGGCUAACCUUCCUUCUCAGGUGAAUGUGACAGUCAUCAUGACCUCAGCCUCGGCCGACAGCCAGCAGUUCCUGUCCUCUUAUCUCGUUCC
Long non-coding RNA from Penaeus chinensis, 289 nucleotides. RefSeq lists it as uncharacterized. NCBI's taxonomy places the organism in Eukaryota, Metazoa, Arthropoda, Malacostraca, Decapoda, Penaeidae. The transcript has 3 exons. The record is from RefSeq and is a predicted model, not a curated record.